RNAcentral lists this ribosomal RNA (475 nucleotides) under uncultured bacterium. Its description in RNAcentral is "bacterial SSU rRNA". It matches the Rfam family "Bacterial small subunit ribosomal RNA", at positions 30 to 521 of the family's 1533-position model. The record is from RNAcentral.
AUUGAACGCUGGCGGCAUGCUUUACACAUGCAAGUCGAACGGCAGCACGGGCUUCGGCCUGGUGGCGAGUGGCGAACGGGUGAGUAAUGCAUCGGAACGUGCCGUGUAGUGGGGGAUAACGUAGCGAAAGCUGUGCUAAUACCGCAUACGAUCUCUGGAUGAAAGCGGGGGACUCGCAAGGGCCUCGCGCGAUUGGAGCGGCCGAUAUCAGAUUAGGUAGUUGGUGGGGUAAAAGCUCACCAAGCCGACGAUCUGUAGCUGGUCUGAGAGGACGACCAGCCACACUGGGACUGAGACACGGUCCAGACUCCUACGGGAGGCAGCAGUGGGGAAUUUUGGACAAUGGGCGCAAGCCUGAUCCAGCCAUGCCGCGUGAGUGAAGAAGGUCUUCGGAUUGUAAAGCUCUUUUACCAGGGACGAUAAUGACGGUACCUGGAGAAUAAGCCCCGGCAAACUUCGUGCCAGCAGCCGCGGU